Molecule: ribosomal RNA, 492 nt
Filed under: uncultured bacterium
Lineage: Bacteria
Description: partial 16S ribosomal RNA
Rfam family: Bacterial small subunit ribosomal RNA
Source: RNAcentral
AGUGAACGCUGGCGGUAGGCCUAACACAUGCAAGUCGAACGGCAGCACAGUAAGAGCUUGCUCUUACGGGUGGCGAGUGGCGGACGGGUGAGGAAUACAUCGGAAUCUACUUUUUCGUGGGGGAUAACGUAGGGAAACUUACGCUAAUACCGCAUACGACCUACGGGUGAAAGCAGGGGAUCUUCGGACCUUGCGCGAUUGAAUGAGCCGAUGUCGGAUUAGCUAGUUGGCGGGGUAAAGGCCCACCAAGGCGACGAUCCGUAGCUGGUCUGAGAGGAUGGUCAGCCACACUGGAACUGAGACACGGUCCAGACUCCUACGGGAGGCAGCAGUGGGGAAUAUUGGACAAUGGGCGAAAGCCUGAUCCAGCCAUACCGCGUGGGUGAAGAAGGCCUUCGGGUUGGAAAGCCCUUUUGUUGGGAAAGAAAAGCAGCAGGUUAAUACCCCGCUGUUCUGACGGUACCCAAAGAAUAAGCACCGGCUAACUUCGUG